This 496-nucleotide long non-coding RNA is filed under the name Homo sapiens (human). RNAcentral's name for it is "HSALNT0029235". Lineage: Eukaryota; Metazoa; Chordata; Mammalia; Primates; Hominidae. The record is from RNAcentral.
GCUCGGGUUGGCGAGGUCCGGGAGCCCUCGGUGCCGCGAUGGGAAGUGCUUGCCCACGGCCCGGCCUGGGGACACACUCCCGCGCCCUCCAGGCCCCUGAGCUGUUCCUGGGAAAGGGCGUGAACGAAGCUCCCGCACAACCCCUUUCUUUCUCUUGGCACUUCCCAGUAAACCCUCCAGGUGUCCAGCUACACGACUGGACCUCAGUGCCCACUACAUGGACAAGCCUUGAAACUCAUCCAUCCAAACAUCAGAUAAACCUAAACUGAGAGACAUUUCACAAAACUACACAAAGAUGAAGAAGGGCUGAGGAACUGCACCAGACCGAAGGAAAGGAAAGAGACAGAACAACUAGAUGCAGUGCGUGAUCCCAGCUUGCAUCUUGGAUGGGGGGGAAAUUGCUGUUAAGGACAUAAUUGGCAAAAUUUGCAUGUGGAUUAUAUAACAGUAAUAUUGUAUCAAUGUUAAAUUUCCUGAAUUGGAUCAUUGAAACGUG